Molecule: long non-coding RNA, 385 nt
Organism: Capsicum annuum
Lineage: Eukaryota; Viridiplantae; Streptophyta; Magnoliopsida; Solanales; Solanaceae
Exons: 4
Source: RefSeq, a predicted model, not a curated record
AGUUUGUAAAGGACAUUCUUUUCUGAAAAUUUCAGGUGGUUGAAGCAGCACUGCAUUCACGGAUACAAAGAUUGGAACAUAGGCUGUGGGAUUUAGAACCACGUGUCCAAGCACUACUUGAGGUUUUGCCUAACCGAUUAACUGCAGACAUAUUGGAGGAACUUCGUAUCAGUAAACAGAAACUGGUGGAAUUGGGUUCCAGGGCAGGGGCUCUUAAGCAAAUGCUACUUGAUAUUCUAGAGGAUACUCAUGAAAUACGGCAAAUCUGCAUAAUCGGGAGAAAUUGUGUACUUAAGAAAGAAAACGAUGAGAUAGAGUGCUCCGUAGCCCUGGAUAAGGAGAUUGCUGAAGAAGAAGAGGAGGAAAUUGAAAUGCUUUUGGAAAA